CACCACUCAAGCCUGGCUUGGUGUUGGGCGACGUCCCCUUCGGGGGACGCGCUUCGAAACGCUCGGCGGCGUGGCACCGGCUUUAAGCGUAGCAGAAUCUUUCGCUUUGAAAGUCGGGGCCCCGUCUGCCGGAAGGCCUACUCGCAAGG
Molecule: unclassified non-coding RNA, 149 nt
Filed under: uncultured Cenococcum
Lineage: Eukaryota; Fungi; Ascomycota; Dothideomycetes; Gloniales; Gloniaceae
Description: sequence contains ITS2
Source: RNAcentral